GCCUUCUAAGCUUAGUUGGUGGAGCCCCCGCUUACUAAGCGGGAGGUCGUCGGUUUGACUCUGGUAGAAAGCU
This 73-nucleotide transfer RNA is filed under the name Perkinsus olseni. RNAcentral's name for it is "tRNA-Ser". Lineage: Eukaryota; Perkinsozoa; Perkinsida; Perkinsidae. The record is from RNAcentral.